This 562-nucleotide long non-coding RNA is filed under the name Physcomitrium patens. RNAcentral's name for it is "long non-coding RNA (PPAT_LNC013445)". Lineage: Eukaryota; Viridiplantae; Streptophyta; Bryopsida; Funariales; Funariaceae. The record is from RNAcentral.
CCAACUUUGCUAUUAGAGUGGUCCUUCAAUAAGACUUUGGUAGACGCCUUCAACUUCAAGCAUAUAAAUCACGUUGUUAUAUUACGUACUAUCUUGCUUAAGAACGCAUUGUGUAUUUGGCUGUAGGAGGUAGUAUGGUGUUUCGCUAGUAUACAAGUAGUCUAUCGGGUUCUUGACUACCCAAAUACAAUCUAUAACUGAUUACAAUGUAAAAGCUUAAUUCCAAUAUAAAAUGCCUAGAAACCCUAUAUAACUUCAAUUUCUUUUGUUAUUUUUAUUUUAUUUUAUUUAUUUUAUGUUUUUUAUUUUAUCUUUAUCGUUAAUUACCUUAAUCCUAGACCGUGAACUUUGGCAAGCUGUGAUCCUUGAUCUAUCCUUUCGACUUGUUGUGAAACAUCUAUCGCUAGUGUCUCUACAAGCCCUUUCGAAUACUCAAGAAGUUCUAGUUCAACCUUGCUUAUAGAUUGUGAAACUAUGCUGCAAUUCGCACCGAUGUCCCUUAGCCACUCGCCGAUAUUCCUCUUAUCCCUAUUGGUAGGUCCCCAGUUAUUAUAGAAACCCU